Molecule: ribosomal RNA, 440 nt
Filed under: uncultured bacterium
Lineage: Bacteria
Description: partial 16S ribosomal RNA
Rfam family: Bacterial small subunit ribosomal RNA
Source: RNAcentral
CCUACGUGAGGCAGCAGUGGGGAAUAUUGCACAAUGGGGGAAACCCUGAUGCAGCGACGCCGCGUGAGUGAAGAAGUAAUUCGUUAUGUAAAGCUCUAUCAGCAGGGAAGAAAAUGACGGUACCUGAGUAAGAAGCCCCGGCUAACUACGUGCCAGCAGCCGCGGUAAUACGUAGGGGGCAAGCGUUAUCCGGAUUUACUGGGUGUAAAGGGAGCGUAGACGGCAGUGCAAGUCUGGAGUGAAAGGCGGGGGCUCAACCCCCGGACUGCUCUGGAAACUGUACGGCUGGAGUGCAGGAGAGGUAAGUGGAAUUCCUAGUGUAGCGGCGAAAUGCGUAGAUAGUAGGAGGAAAACCAGUGGCGAAGGCGGCUUACUGGACUGUAACUGACGUUGAGGCUCGAAAGCGUGGGGAGCAAACAGGAUUAGAUACCCUGGUAGUC